Molecule: transfer RNA, 67 nt
Filed under: Pterostichus niger
Lineage: Eukaryota; Metazoa; Arthropoda; Insecta; Coleoptera; Carabidae
Description: tRNA-Met
Rfam family: tRNA
About the family: Transfer RNA (tRNA) molecules are approximately 80 nucleotides in length. Their secondary structure includes four short double-helical elements and three loops (D, anti-codon, and T loops).
Source: RNAcentral
AAAAAGAUAAGCUAUUAAGCUUUUAGGUUCAUACCCUAAAUAUAAAGGUUUAAUCCUUUUCUUUUUA